Molecule: ribosomal RNA, 130 nt
Filed under: Candidatus Nealsoniibacteriota bacterium
Lineage: Bacteria; Candidatus Nealsoniibacteriota
Description: Candidatus Nealsonbacteria bacterium partial 23S ribosomal RNA
Rfam family: Bacterial large subunit ribosomal RNA
Source: RNAcentral
AUCCGCCCAGGGUUAGUCGGAACCUAAGCCGAGGCCGAAAGGCGUAGGCGAUGGACAACCGGUCAACAUUCCGGUACUACCAGAUUAUCGUUUUAAGUGAUGGGGGGACGCAGGAAGGUAGGUGGAGAAU